Molecule: ribosomal RNA, 390 nt
Filed under: uncultured bacterium
Lineage: Bacteria
Description: bacterial SSU rRNA
Rfam family: Bacterial small subunit ribosomal RNA
Source: RNAcentral
AUUGAACGCUGGCGGCAUGCCUUACACAUGCAAGUCGAACGGCAGCACGGACUUCGGUCUGGUGGCGAGUGGCGAACGGGUGAGUAAUGUAUCGGAACGUACCUUUCAGUGGGGGGAUAACGUAGCGAAAGUUACGCUAAUACCGCAUAUUCUGUGAGCAGGAAAGCAGGGGAUCGCAAGACCUUGCGCUGAUUGAGCGGCCGAUAUCAGAUUAGCUAGUUGGUGGGGUAAAGGCCUACCAAGGCUACGAUCUGUAGCGGGUCUGAGAGGAUGAUCCGCCACACUGGAACUGAGACACGGUCCAGACUCCUACGGGAGGCAGCAGUGGGGAAUUUUGGACAAUGGGCGCAAGCCUGAUCCAGCCAUUCCGCGUGAGUGAAGAAGGCCUUC